GGCGGUGUAGCUCAGUAGGUAGAGCAAACGGCUCAUAUCCGUUGGGUCAGGGGUUCAAAUCCCUUCGCCGCUA
RNAcentral lists this transfer RNA (73 nucleotides) under Spirochaetales bacterium. Its description in RNAcentral is "tRNA-Met". It matches the Rfam family "tRNA". From Rfam's summary of the family: Transfer RNA (tRNA) molecules are approximately 80 nucleotides in length. Their secondary structure includes four short double-helical elements and three loops (D, anti-codon, and T loops). Further hydrogen bonds mediate the characteristic L-shaped molecular structure. tRNAs have two regions of fundamental functional importance: the anti-codon, which is responsible for specific mRNA codon recognition, and the 3' end, to which the tRNAs corresponding amino acid is attached (by aminoacyl-tRNA synthetases). tRNAs cope with the degeneracy of the genetic code in two manners: having more than one tRNA (with a specific anti-codon) for a particular amino acid; and 'wobble' base-pairing, i.e. permitting non-standard base-pairing at the 3rd anti-codon position. Lineage: Bacteria; Pseudomonadati; Spirochaetota; Spirochaetia; Spirochaetales. The record is from RNAcentral.